RNAcentral lists this ribosomal RNA (253 nucleotides) under uncultured bacterium. Its description in RNAcentral is "partial 16S ribosomal RNA". It matches the Rfam family "Bacterial small subunit ribosomal RNA", at positions 524 to 776 of the family's 1533-position model. The record is from RNAcentral.
UACGUAGGGGGCAAGCGUUGUCCGGAAUCAUUGGGCGUAAAGAGCGCGUAGGCGGCCCAGUCAGUCCGCUCUGAAAGUCAGGGGCUCAACCCCUGAAUGCGGGUGGAUACUGCUGGGCUAGAGUCCGGAAGAGGCGAGUGGAAUUCCUGGUGUAGCGGUGAAAUGCGCAGAUAUCAGGAGGAACACCGAUGGCGAAGGCGGCAUCCUGGACCGACAUUGACGCUGAUGAGCGAAAGCUAGGGGAGCAAACGGG